AGAGAUGAACAGAAAGGGCUCUAGCUCUUUAUAUAUAUAUAUAUGUGUGUGUGUGUGUGUGUGUGUGUGUGUGUGUAUUCACACAUACAUACAUACACAUUUUUAUAAUUUAUAAA
This 116-nucleotide microRNA precursor is filed under the name Mustela putorius furo (domestic ferret). RNAcentral describes it as "miRNA (ENSMPUG00000023411.1)". Lineage: Eukaryota; Metazoa; Chordata; Mammalia; Carnivora; Mustelidae. The record is from RNAcentral.